RNAcentral lists this ribosomal RNA (1230 nucleotides) under metagenome. Its description in RNAcentral is "bacterial LSU rRNA". It matches the Rfam family "Bacterial large subunit ribosomal RNA", at positions 1683 to 2925 of the family's 2925-position model. The record is from RNAcentral.
AAGGGGCGCGAGACAACUCUCUCUAAGGAACUCGGCAAAAUUACCUCUUAACUUCGGAAGAAGAGGUACCCCUUCACGGGGGUUGCAAUAGAUUGACCCUGGCGACUGUUUACCAAAAACACAGGUCUCCGCUAAUUCGUAAGAAAAAGUAUGGGGGCUGACGCCUGCCCAGUGCCGGAAGGUUAAAGAAGUUGGUUAGUCCUUGGACAAAGCUAGCGACUGAAGCCCCGGUGAACGGCGGCCGUAACUAUAACGGUCCUAAGGUAGCGAAAUUCCUUGUCGGGUAAGUUCCGACCCGCACGAAAGGCGUAACGAUCAGGGUACUGUCUCGGAGAGAGGCUCGGCGAAAUAGACAUGUCUGUGAAGAUGCGGACUACCUGCACCUGGACAGAAAGACCCUAUGAAGCUUUACUGUAUCUUGGAAUUGGGUUUGGUCUUUGCAUGCGCAGGAUAGGUGGGAGGCUUUGAAGAUGAUCUUGCGGGGUCGUUGGAGCCACUGGUGAGAUACCACCCUUGCAAUGAUAAAAUCCUAACUUUGAACCGUUAUCCGGUCAAAGAACAGUUUCAGGUGGGCAGUUUGACUGGGGCGGUCGCCUCCUAAAACUAACGGAGGCGUGCAAAGGUUCCCUCAGGCUGGUUGGACAUCAGUCGUAGAGUGUAAAGGCAUAAGGGAGCUUGACUGCGAGACCAACAAGUCGAGCAGAGACGAAAGUCGGCCUUAGUGAUCCGGCGCUUCCGAGUGGAAGGGGCGUCGCUCAACGGAUAAAAGUUACUCUAGGAUAACAGGCUGAUCUCCCCCAAGAGUUCACAUCGACGGGGAGGUUUGGCACCUCGAUGUCGGCUCAUCGCAUCCUGGGGCGGUAGUACGUCCCAAGGGUUGGGCUGUUCGCCCAUGAAAGCGGUACGCGAGCUGGGUUCAGAACGUCGUGAGACAGUUCGGUCCAUAUCCGGUGCAGGCGUUAGAGUAUUGCGAAGACUCCUCCUUAGUACGAGAGGACCGGGGGGAAUGCACCGCUGGUGUACCAGUUAUCGUGCCAACGGUAAACGCUGGGUAGCCAAGUGCAGUUUGGAUAACUGCUGAAAGCAUCUAAGUAGGAAGCCAGCUUCAAGAUGAGUACUCUCACCGCUUCAAGCGGGUAAGAUCACGGCAAGAACAGCCGUUUGAUAGGCAUCAAGUGUAAGUGCAGUAAUGUAUUCAGCUGAGAUGUACUAAUAGAUCGAGGGCUUAUC